CGGACGGCGCACGGUGAGUAACGCGUAUGCAACUUACCUAUCAGGAGGGGAUAACCCGGCGAAAGUCGGACUAAUACCGCAUGAAGCAGGGGCCCCGCAUGGGGAUAUUUGCUAAAGAUUCAUCGCUGAUAGAUAGGCAUGCGUUCCAUUAGGCAGUUGGCGGGGUAACGGCCCACCAAACCGACGAUGGAUAGGGGUUCUGAGAGGAAGGUCCCCCACAUUGGUACUGAGACACGGACCAA
This 242-nucleotide ribosomal RNA is filed under the name uncultured bacterium. RNAcentral describes it as "partial 16S ribosomal RNA". It matches the Rfam family "Bacterial small subunit ribosomal RNA", at positions 92 to 334 of the family's 1533-position model. The record is from RNAcentral.